UACGUAGGUGGCAAGCGUUGUUCGGAAUUAUUGGGCGUAAAGGGCGCGUAGGCGGCUUGUUAAGUCGGUUGUGAAAGCCCGGGGCUCAACCCCGGAAAGUCGACCGAUACUGCGCGGCUAGAGUGCGGAAGGGGCAACUGGAAUUCUCGGUGUAGCGGUGAAAUGCGUAGAUAUCGAGAGGAACACCUGCGGCGAAGGCGGGUUGCUGGGCCGACACUGACGCUGAAGCGCGAAAGCCAGGGGAGCGAACGGG
RNAcentral lists this ribosomal RNA (253 nucleotides) under uncultured bacterium. Its description in RNAcentral is "partial 16S ribosomal RNA". It matches the Rfam family "Bacterial small subunit ribosomal RNA", at positions 524 to 776 of the family's 1533-position model. The record is from RNAcentral.